RNAcentral lists this transfer RNA (57 nucleotides) under Glis glis (Fat dormouse). RNAcentral describes it as "tRNA-Ala". Lineage: Eukaryota; Metazoa; Chordata; Mammalia; Rodentia; Gliridae. The record is from RNAcentral.
AAGGAUUUAGCUUAAUUAAAGUGUUUGAUUUGCGUUCAGAUGAUGUAAGAAUAAUCU